GGUGAUCCACCCACCUUGGCCUUACAGAGUGCUGGGAUUACACACGUGAGCCACCAUGUCCGGCCAAGACCUUUCUUCUAAUAUAAUGUAAUGCUAUAAAUACCCAUCUAAGAAUGACUUUAGUUGCAUCUCACAAAUUUUGAUAGUUUCAUUUUUCUUCAGUUCAAAAUAUUUUAUAUUUUUCCUUGAUAUUUCCUUUGACUUGUGCAUCAUUUGGGAUUAUGCUGUUUAAUUUGCUGCUUUUUGAGGAUUUUCCUAUUAUCUUUGCUAUUUUUCAAAUUCUACUGUUGAAGAAUAUACUUUGUGUGAUUUCAGUUCUUUUAGAUUUAUUAAGGUUUAUUCUCUGAUCCAGGAUAUAAUCUGUCUUGGUGAAUGUUCCAUGUACACUUAGAAAAAAGAGUAUUUUGCUGUUGGGUGGAAUGUCCUUUAAAUGUCAAUUCAAUUUAGUUGAUUAAUACUGUUAUUUAGUUCUUUUAUAUUCUUGCUGAUUUUCUGUCUACUAGAUCUAUUGAUUACCGAGAGAAGGGUGAUUAGGUCUCCAAAUAUUGUGGAUUUUUCUAUUUCUUUUUUCAGUCUGUCAGUUUUGCUUCAUGUAUUUUGAAGCUCUGUUUGGUACAUACUUGUUUAAUAUUUUUUAUGUCUUAUUGGUGAAUUGAUGUUUUCAUUAUGUAGUGUCCUUUUAUCCUUGGUAAUUUUCUCUGCUCUAAAUUAUAUUUUUUCUGAUAUUGCUAUAGGUAAUUCAGCUGUCAUUUGAUUAGUGUUUGCAGGGCAAAACUUUUUCUAUCCUACUUUUAACAUACUUAAGUCAUUGUGUUUUAAAUACAUUUCUUGUAGACAUCAUAUAGUUGGGUCUUUUUAAAAAAAUCCAUACUGUUGAUCUUUGUCUUUUGAUUGGUAUGUUUUGACCAUUUGCAGCUAAUGUAGUUAUUCAUAUUUGUAUUUAGAUCUACUGUUUUAUUUUCUGUUUGUGCCCUCUCCUUUUUAUUCACAUUCUCUUCUUUCUUUUGGAUUGUAUCUCUCUCUCUCUCUCUCACACACACACACGUAUGUGAGAUAUAUAUAUAUCCUCAUGAGAUAAUUUUAUAUUUUUUCUUUUAACAAUUACAUAUCUUUUAAACAACUUGAGGAGAAUAGUAGCCUACUGUAUUUUUACAGAUGUUUUAAUUUCUAUUAUUCUUCCUUCUUUUCCAACAUUCCAUACUUCCUUCUGGUAUUCUUUCUCUUCUGUUCUUCAGACAGAAGUUCUGUCUGAAGAACUUUCUUAAGUAUUUUUUGUACUUGUUUUAAAGCAGUUCUGCUGGCAAAAACUUCUUUUUUCCUUUACCUGAAAAUAUUCUCAUUUCACCUUCAUUCCUAAAGGAUAUUUUCACUGCAUACAGAAUUCUAGGUUUGCAGUACAUUUAGCACAUAAAAAAUAUUCCACUUCCUUCUGGCUUCAAUGUUUCUCAUGGGAAAUUGGCAGUCUUGCAAAUAAUUGUUUCCCUGUAAGUAAUACAUCAGUUUUCUUUGGUUGCAUUUGAUUUUUUUUUCCUGUGUCUUUAGUUUUUAGUGCUUUAAUUAUUACAUGUCUGGGCAUUGAUUCCUUUGAGUUUACCCUGUUUAGGGUUAUCUGAGCUUCUUGAAUCUAUAAAUUUAUAAUGUUAGCCAAAUUUGAGAAGUGCUUAGGAAUUAUUUCUUCAAAUACUUGCUUUUUACACAAUAGUCUCUUCUAUGAUGAUAUGAAUGUUAGAUCUUCUGAUAUUGUUCCACAGGCCCCAGAGAGGCUCUGUUAAUUUUUUCUCCUAAUCUUUUUUCUCUCUUGUUUAGAUUAGGUAAUUUCUAUUGGCCUAGCGACAAGUUCAUUGACUCUUUCGUUGGUCUUGUUCAAUCUCCUACUCUCUGAAACACAUCCAGAUAGUUUUUAUUUGUUAGUAUAUUUUUCAAAGUUAAAAGUUCCAUUUGAUUCUUCAUUAUAUUUUGUAUUUCUUUGGUAAGACUUUCUAUCUUUCCAUUUAUUUCAAGGGUAUUCACCCUUAAUUUGUGAGGCAUUUUAAUCAUAGCUACCGUAAAGUCAUCUGUGUCACCUAAUUGUCUUGUCCCACUCAAGUCAACAUUUUUUUCUCUACAUCUUCAUGUGUAGAGUAAUUUUGGGUUGAAUCCUGGACAUUUUGAAUAUCAUGCAAUAAAGCUUUGGGUCUUGUUUACUUAAAGUUAUAUGGAAAAUGCUGAUUUUCUUUUUUUAAUUUUAGCAACAGUUAACCUAGUUAGGAUUAGGCUGCAAAUUCUGACUGGUCUUCUGUGGGUUGUGAUUUUAAUGUCAGUUCCAUUUCCAAAGCCUUCGAAGUACCUUCCAUAUCUAUCCCACAUGUAUACCACUCAGUGGCCAGUAUGAGGUCAGAGCAAUACUUUAUCCUACAGUGCAGUUUUUGAAAUCUGUGAUACACUGUUUUAUGUCAGAGUCACACAUGCCCAGGGGUGACUUCAGUAGUUCAUAAACAACUUUACAAAAUCCUUUCCCAGGCUCCUUUAUCUCUCUGAUCUCCCUUGCACUUUUCAGUUCCUUGGAAUUCCCCCGUUUUGGUCCUUUGGCUAGAAAGCUUUAUCCUACUCUGUGAUUUGCUUCUUGUGACUGCUCCUUCCUAUGGGGCCAAGUGGUGGGAGGACAGAGAAAGAGAGAGAGAGACAAAGUAAUGGGGAUUUGCCCCAGUCUUUUGGAACUACAAGUCCUCCAAUCAGAGGGUAAGAUUCUCUCCUUCAUCAAAGUUUUGGGCUCCUGAGGGUCUCCCUUGUUGCAGCCGUUGCUGUUACCACAGUCCCAGGAUGCCUGGAGGAAUGGAAUGCAAGAGGCUGAUAUGUUAGAGAUCCUUUCCACUUCUUGAGUUAGAACUGGAGUGUACUCUGUCUGCAAAAUGCUUGCCUCUACGAUACAGGCUGUGUUGACACCAGACUGGUGGAUACCAGAGGGAAAAAAUGAUGAGCCCACUAUAGUUUUAUGGUAUUAUUUUCUCCCCCCAGUCUUCCUGUUAUGCUUGUAUUACGUUUUAGAGUUCUUAUGUUGCUGCUUCAUGCACUCUGUUCAGGUUUCAGAUCUGCUUUCAGUGGGAGAAACAAGAUGGAAUCUACUUAUUCCAUCUUACCAUAAAAUAAACCAUUAAAGUAUAACAUGCAUGCAGAAAAGUGCACAAAUCAUAAAUGUGCAUUUUCACAAAGUAACCACUCUCUGCAACCAAGAUAUGUAACAUUACCAGCACUCCAGAAGCCUCCAAGUCACUACCCCCACCCUUCUCUUCAAAGUGCCCAUCAUGUGUCCUACAUGCCUAUCACAGAGCCUGGAAUGUAGCAGAUGCCCAAUAUUUGCAGAAUGAAUGAAUUCAUAUGUAAGUGACUGAAAGAGUUCAACAAAUGUUAGUUCUCUUUCCCUUUCUCAUCUCAUAUUUACAGAAGAAUGGAUACACCAGAGUUAUGGAGUCAGAAGAUACUACUAUCAGUUCUACAGAAGAAAGACAAAUUCAUGGUGUGAUGGAUGUUACCAGAUGUUAAAAAUUAUGGAACUGUUAAAAAUUUUGGAACUGCUCAUAGAUACCUCGUACAGGCAGUUGGAAAUAUAGAUCUAGAGCUCAGUAAAAAAGUCAUAGUUAAGGACCUGGAUCUUCAAAUUAUAAAAUUUUAUUUUUUAUAUCUUUUAAAAUGUGUUGUGCUUUGCUCCUAUGUGUUUUAAAAUGGAGGAAAAGAGGACAAUUGGGAUUCAGGGGUCAAAUGCCAGGAUAUGAGACUUACAGUGCAUCUGGUAAAAAUUAAAAUGAUUUAAACUC
Homo sapiens (human) is the source of this 3791-nucleotide long non-coding RNA. RefSeq lists it as uncharacterized. The record is from RefSeq and is a predicted model, not a curated record. The transcript has 2 exons. NCBI's taxonomy places the organism in Eukaryota, Metazoa, Chordata, Mammalia, Primates, Hominidae.